RNAcentral lists this ribosomal RNA (449 nucleotides) under uncultured bacterium. Its description in RNAcentral is "bacterial SSU rRNA". It matches the Rfam family "Bacterial small subunit ribosomal RNA", at positions 355 to 796 of the family's 1533-position model. The record is from RNAcentral.
UGGGGAAUAUUGGACAAUGGGCGAAAGCCUGAUCCAGCGACGCCGCGUGGGUGAAGAAGGCCUGCGGGUUGUAAAGCCCUUUCGGUGGGGAAGAAAAGUCUCGGUCUAAUACACUGGGAUCUUGACGUAACCCACAAAAGAAGCACCGGCUAACUCUGUGCCAGCAGCCGCGGUAAUACAGAGGGUGCGAGCGUUAAUCGGAAUUACUGGGCGUAAAGCGCGCGUAGGCGGCUUUGCAAGUCGGUUGUGAAAUCCCCGGGCUUAACCUGGGAACUGCAUUCGAGACUGCAUUGCUAGAGUAUGGGAGAGGGAAGUGGAAUUUCAGGUGUAGCGGUGAAAUGCGUAGAUAUCUGAAGGAACAUCAGUGGCGAAAGCGACUUCCUGGACCAAUACUGACGCUCAUGUGCGAAAGCGUGGGGAGCAAACAGGAUUAGAUACCCCUGUAGUCC